This 201-nucleotide long non-coding RNA is filed under the name Vigna radiata. Its description in RNAcentral is "long non-coding RNA (VRAD_LNC003817)". Lineage: Eukaryota; Viridiplantae; Streptophyta; Magnoliopsida; Fabales; Fabaceae. The record is from RNAcentral.
GAGCAAAGGAAGGAUGAUACACAACUUGGACAGAAAGGAAUCCCUAAGAGAUUUUCCAUAUGCAGACAACUAGGGCAUAGAAGACCUAACUGCCCUCAAGCAACUCAACAACAACACCAAGAAGGUACACUACACCAGGAAACUACACCACACCAGGAACCUGUACCAGACCAGGAACCUACACCACACCACGAAGCUACA